AUUGAACGCUGGCGGAAUGCUUUACACAUGCAAGUCGAACGGCAGCACGGGAGCUUGCUCCUGGUGGCGAGUGGCGAACGGGUGAGUAACAUAUCGGAACGUACCCAGUCGUGGGGGAUAACUAUCCGAAAGGAUAGCUAAUACCGCAUACGUCCUGAGGGAGAAAGCGGGGGAUCGCAAGACCUCGCGCGAUUGGAGCGGCCGAUAUCGGAUUAGCUAGUUGGUGGGGUAAAGGCUCACCAAGGCGACGAUCCGUAGCGGGUCUGAGAGGACGACCCGCCACACUGGAACUGAGACACGGUCCAGACUCCUACGGGAGGCAGCAGUGGGGAAUUUGGACAAUGGGGGCAACCCUGAUCCAGCCAUUCCGCGUGAGUGAAGAAGGCC
This 387-nucleotide ribosomal RNA is filed under the name uncultured bacterium. RNAcentral's name for it is "bacterial SSU rRNA". It matches the Rfam family "Bacterial small subunit ribosomal RNA", at positions 29 to 416 of the family's 1533-position model. The record is from RNAcentral.